RNAcentral lists this long non-coding RNA (2842 nucleotides) under Hordeum vulgare. RNAcentral's name for it is "long non-coding RNA (HVUL_LNC019846)". The record is from RNAcentral. Lineage: Eukaryota; Viridiplantae; Streptophyta; Magnoliopsida; Poales; Poaceae.
CAUACAACAUAACAACAUUUAUUUAGAAGGCUCCAAAGUGCUAAAAUGGUAUAAUGUUACAAGCAGGGGGUCACAUGACCUAACAUUCAGAGAAUACACUCAACAAGCGAAAGUUACAUGUUUAGGUACAGACAUCUACUAAAAAUGGUUGGAAGAGCCUAAAAAGCUACAACGACGCUACCAAAGGAGCCACAACUCUGUUUGGGAUUCCCAAGCUAUUCUGGUCAACAUUAAACACAUCGUGUAGAACCAAUAAUAAAACUAAUGUCUCCUCUGCAAAACAUAAAUUAAGAAAUCGUGAGUACAAAGGUACACAACAAGACUUACAUCAGAACCAUCUACAUAUGCAUCAUUGUCAACAAAGGGGUUGUGGAGUUUAAUAACAGCAAGCCAACUUUGACUCUUGGGUAACAUGUACUACGACUAUGAGUACUUCAUUAGAGGUGGGAUAGCGCACACGUGUCCACAUAUUCACCAAAUCAAUGCACCACCAUGGAUCCAUUAUCGUCUCCCUACGAGAAGGCCAUCCAUAUCACUCACACUUUUCUUGCGUAUUUUAGAGUAUCCAUUUCAAAUUGUCUAUGUACCACAUAAGUUUCCAAUUAGUCUAUAUCCGAGGACGCGGCUAUUCGAAUAGAUUAAUUCACCCUUCAUGGGUAUACUUCUUCACACAUCCUCUCACCACUUACCACCAUGUGGACAUCAUGCAUCUCGACAACUUUCAAGCGGAAGCACUGGCGUGGGUGUCGGCCACGACCUGACUAACCACACAUGACUCUAGUCCAGGUUUAUCGCCUAUUUGAGACUGAACCCGCAAGGAAGUCCGGCCGAAGUUCCCAUUACGGCCCCAAACGAUGUGUAUAACGUUCCCAAGCCCACCUCGAUGGAUGGUUCUACACUUUGUACACCCGACCACUCGUGUAUCUACAGCGCAAUACCCUACCCCUUCGGUCAGCGCUAUGCACGACCGCCAACACAUCCUACAAACACUAGAAACUAGUUGAACUCCUGGACAGAGGACAAGGCGAUUAAUAAGUCGAGAGAGACAAUUAAGGAUCCCAAUGUGCGGUAGUAUCUUGUCUCGGAGAACAUACGUAGAACUCAGUUCUUAUGGGCGAUCCCAAUGAGACAACCCACAUGUACUCCUCCAUGGCCUCUCAUUGCUACCUUUACCAAAUCGCAUUCACAUAAUUAUCUCUCACACAACAGGACAUGUUCACAACCAUUCCGAUCCAUCGCCCAGAUGGAUCAGAUCCGACACGACUCUAAGCAUAGCAAGCACAGUAAGCAAGCAUGGAUGAGUAAGCACAACAAGGCUCAAGCAGUUGCUACUCAUGCUAAGUGGUUUCAACUAUUUACUGUGACAAGGACAGGUCAUGCAAACGAAUGGGUUCAUCUACCGAGAACAAGUGACAUUUGAAUUGUUGUUGUCCUAAUGCAGUAAAAGAGAGCAGGAGCGAGAGAGUGGGUUUAUAUCAGUAUGCUCAAGGGGGUCGCUUGCCUGACAGUUUUGAAGGUAACCAUGGGUCUUCAUUACUGUCAAUGAUCACAACGUCGGAACCAUCGUCUACAGAGAGGGAACAACACCGGCAAACAGAAAAAGAACAACCUUUAUUUCACGGAAAUGCAACACUAUGAUGCAUGUUCAUGACACAGCAAUAUACUAUUGAUUGAGCUAAUGCAUCUAGCAACAAGAUUAAACAAAGUUGGUUUGAACCAAAGGUUCAAUUUCAACCUCCAUAUGUAGUUAUUUAAAUCAAAUUUAAUUGAAUUGUCCUAAACAGAGUACAUAAUUUGUUCUAGCAUGCAUGGAAAAGAUACCAUGAGAUUCCUUGGAUUUUUCUGGUAAUUUUUCAUAUAUAAAUUAUUUUUAUUGGAGUUAUGGUUGAAUUUCCAUGAUUUUUAGAAGUUUUGAAUAUUUUCUAAAAUUUCCUGGGUUAUUAAUAUUCCAAAAGAACAUUAUUGCAUCAACACUGUAUCAUGCUUGCCUCAUCAAGUCAACGGCGCCAAGUCAGGUCAAAACUAAUGUGUGGGGUUUAAUAUAAAACUAGGGCUCUAUUAGCCUGUGGGGUCCACACGUCACUGGCACAGGGGAUUACUUAGCAAGGUCAUUAGCCACUAAUGACGUUGCCAUGUCAUCACGCCGGGGAUCAGCCGGCGGUGACCCAAUCCUUGGCGGGGACAUGCCGGACUUGCCCGUCCGGUCAGCUCCGACAAUGGAUGGACGAGUGUGUGGGCUCUAUGGAUCAGGCGCAGUGCGACGCAUCCGAUGGUGGUGGCCGCAAGUGCUGGGGAGGGCUGUGGCAACGGCGGCAACGAGCGAGCCGGCAGGGAGCUUCGGCCACAGUGUGCUGGCUAGCUAUGACGCGAGAGGGAGACCGCAAGGAGAGGGAGAAGGACGACGAGCUAACGACAGUGACAAGGGGAGUCUCAGCUUACUCGGGGAUGCGCGGAUGGCCGUGAAUCAACUUCGAAGAGGACCGCUUGCCGGUGGUUGAAGACGGGUUGGAGACGGUGUCCUACGCGUGAGGCCUCGCGUUCCUUGCUGGAGAGCUUGAGGUAGACGAGACAAAGCUCGUGGUCGGCUCGUAGGGGUGAGGAGAGCGUGAUGGCUACGAUUACGAUGGCGGUGAGCUUGAGCAGGGCUCGGCCAUGGCGAGGGGAAACAGAGAAGUAGGGAGGGGUAUAACGAGGGGAAAGGGGAGAGACCGUUCCGGACGACUCCAAGCUUAUCCCCGUCGUGGUCGCUCGAGGGAGGCAAGCAGGCACGAGGCAUGGUGUGUGGUCGUGCUCGCCAUGUUUUCCUUCGCCUCUGCCUACUCGCAGAGGUAGGAGACGACUG